RNAcentral lists this ribosomal RNA (309 nucleotides) under uncultured eukaryote. RNAcentral describes it as "partial 18S ribosomal RNA". It matches the Rfam family "Eukaryotic small subunit ribosomal RNA", at positions 1470 to 1796 of the family's 1831-position model. The record is from RNAcentral.
CCCUUAGAUGUUCUGGGCGGCCCGCGCACUACAAUGGCGUGUGCAGCGAGUGCCGAAGUAGAGUUUUCCGAGGUAUUCUUGCAAUGCUCGUUUUGAUGGGGAUAGACCCUUGCAACUGUUGGUUUUGAACGAGGAAUUCCUUGUAAGCAUGGUUUAUCAUCCGACGCUGAAUGCGUCCCUGCCCUUUGUACACACCGCCCGUCGCUCCUACCGAUGAGUCGUCCGGUGAAGUUCGUAGACCUCGUGAUCGCGGAUCACUGGGGGAAGCAAAAUGAACCUCGCGGUUUAGAGGAAGUAAAAGUCGUAACA